This 73-nucleotide transfer RNA is filed under the name Candidatus Portnoybacteria bacterium CG03_land_8_20_14_0_80_41_10. RNAcentral's name for it is "tRNA-Val". It matches the Rfam family "tRNA". Rfam says of the family: Transfer RNA (tRNA) molecules are approximately 80 nucleotides in length. Lineage: Bacteria; Candidatus Portnoyibacteriota. RNAcentral also lists the same sequence under 1 other name. The record is from RNAcentral.
GGGCGUAUAGCUCAGCGGUUAGAGCGCUAUCCUCACACGGUAGAAGUCUCUGGUUCGAGUCCAGAUACGCCCA